AAAGGGGCGCGAGGCCACGCCCCGGUGCGGGCGGCCCGGCCUGAGAGGCGCCGCCUGGGCCCUUCCCGCCCACGGGGCCCAGCGCCGCAGGGAGAUUGGCCACAGAAGCCCACCCCCACCUCAGCCAGCUGGGCCCAGUGUCAGGCCAGGGGGCAGAUCCAUACGUCUCCAGUGGCUUCUUUCCUCCUCGAGGAACCGCUGCGUUGCGGAGGGCUGGCUCGCUUCACGCCUGGCGUUUGCGCGAGGCGGUUGAGCGCGCCCACCUGCGGCAAAGGUGGACGCGGCGGCACGAGGCGGCCGGUAGAUGCAAUUGCGUGCCGGGUGCUUCCAGCGAAGAAGACCCGGAGAAUUGGGCCUACCACGUGUAGCGGAGUUGGCUUGCCUGCCACCGCCUCGCAUAUAACAUGAGUGUAUAUGUGCACGUGCUCCUGUGAGACGGAUUUCCAGAUCGUAGCCUGUUUGGAGUGGGUUUCAAGCCGUGGGACCGUGUGUUUUAGGCCCAACCCUUCCAUUGGCUGCCAGCGAUAAUUCUGCAGUUCGCAGCCACGCACCUGAGCAUGCUGGGAACAGACCGGAGGUUUCUAAUACGCCCGACAGGUUUCGUUCUCAGAGCCCCCCCACAAAGUUGUAUGUUUGGCCCUGCUCUCUCUAGCGUAGAUCCCACUUUGUUCCUCAAGACUCAUCUAUCAAAAGUGACAACUUGAUGAUUUGUAGACAGUGCAGCUGAGAACUUGUCAAGCAUCAUUCAUAUGAUUUGCUCAUUAACUGCUUCAGUGUUGUCGUAAUGUGCCAGGCAUGACAUUUUUAACCUUCCAUGUUUGAUACUACCUCAAUUUUGAUGUUGCCCAGAGGCCAAAUUUACCUGAGAAAAAAACACCAGAGAAAGAAAAAAUAAGGAAGCUGCUAUGCAAGAAGAGGUGAAAUAUCAUCACUGCUGGCAGUCGGUGCAGAAGGUGGGAAGUGCGGUGAACCCCUCACUUCUGUUCUUGACUUUGCUGUUCAUAUCCUGUGUGCAAUGCCCGUCUUUUUGGAAAGAGAGAAAUCUAGGAGAGUUCACGGUUGUUUCUGCAGUUGAAGUUCUAAUUGUACAUGUAAUUACUGCAAAGCAGUGAAGAAAAGCAAAUUGUACAGCUGAUUGGGACCGUGGGGACACCUAUUACAGCAUGUGUGUGCAAAUCCAUGAUCUGUGCUUCUAUUGUAGUAACUGAUCAGAUUCUUAUUUUGGUUACAUCAGUAUAAAUCGAUUUACCAAGCAUGAAGAAUUAUGGGUCUGCUAAACAUAAAGAAUCUGAUAGGUUUGUGUCUCCUUUUCAUUGGCACAAAUGUGUAAAUACACACAGCUGUAUAACCAGACUGUUCAAGUUUAUCUAAUUUUGAAGGUUUGAACUGUGUCUGUGUACGCUCCAGAGUAAUAAAGUUUUGUGUUAUAGACCCA
Molecule: long non-coding RNA, 1435 nt
Organism: Alligator mississippiensis (American alligator)
Lineage: Eukaryota; Metazoa; Chordata; Crocodylia; Alligatoridae
Exons: 4
Source: RefSeq, a predicted model, not a curated record